RNAcentral lists this unclassified non-coding RNA (147 nucleotides) under uncultured Helotiales. Its description in RNAcentral is "sequence contains ITS2". Lineage: Eukaryota; Fungi; Ascomycota; Leotiomycetes; Helotiales. The record is from RNAcentral.
CAUCCCUCAAGCUCUGCUUGGUAUUGGGUGUCAUCAAGUAUGGUGUACCUAAAAUUUAGUGGCAGUACCACCGGCCUUAAGCGUAGUAAUAUUUCUCGCUUUCAAGGUUAGGCUGUUAUACUUGCCAGCAAGCCCUAAUUUAUCAAA